Homo sapiens (human) is the source of this 539-nucleotide long non-coding RNA. Ensembl annotates it as long intergenic non-protein coding RNA 1630. Lineage: Eukaryota; Metazoa; Chordata; Mammalia; Primates; Hominidae. The record is from Ensembl.
GAUUUACUGUAUCCUUUUUAGAGCUCAGGCAUGAGUUGGAGGAGGCUCAGAGACAGACAUUGUGUGAUACUGAAAAUCUCCUUCAACUCUUACCCUUCUCCUCAACUCCCAGAAUCUCUCUUUCUUUAGGGUUUGUUACAUAGGUAUACAUGUGCCAUGGUGGUUUGCUGCACCCAUCAACCCAUCAUCUACAUCAGAGAACCUUGUCUUGGGCUAUUGGUAGCCUGUAGAUAAAUUACCCUUGGAUCAAGUGACCAUCCCUGUACAAUAAGAGUUGGCUGAGGAAGAGGAUAGACUGUGAGCAGGAAAGAUCCCCUAGAAAGGCAUCCAUGAUGUGCUUACUAUGUGGCAGGCACUGCUCUUGGUGCUGUGACAAAAACAGGACAUCUAGAGCCUCUGUCUUCAUGGAUCUCAUAUUCUAUUGGGUGGAGAGACGACCGAUUGAUGAUGUUCAUGGAUGCCUUUGAAAUUUGCCAAUAAUGAAAAAACUGAGGUAUAGGAUGAUACAACUGGGCCAGGCAUGGUGGCUCACAUCUGUA